GGAAGUCCUCGUGUUGCAUCCCUC
RNAcentral lists this non-coding RNA (24 nucleotides) under Arabidopsis thaliana (thale cress). The record is from RNAcentral. Lineage: Eukaryota; Viridiplantae; Streptophyta; Magnoliopsida; Brassicales; Brassicaceae.